Molecule: ribosomal RNA, 252 nt
Filed under: uncultured bacterium
Lineage: Bacteria
Description: partial 16S ribosomal RNA
Rfam family: Bacterial small subunit ribosomal RNA
Source: RNAcentral
UACGGAGGGUGCAAGCGUUAUCCGGAUUUACUGGGUUUAAAGGGUGCGCAGGCGGAUAUGUAAGUCAGUGGUGAAAUCUCCGGGCUUAACCCGGAAAUUGCCGUUGAUACUAUAUAUCUUGAAUGUUGUGGAGGUAAGCAGAAUAUGUCAUGUAGCGGUGAAAUGCUUAGAGAUGACAUAGAAUACCUAUUGCGAAGGCAGCUUACUACGCAGAUAUUGACGCUCAUGCACGAAAGCGUGGGAUCAAACAGG